GAAAGUGGGGCGAGAUACUGCAUUAGGAACUGAUUGGUUGUUAAUUUCACUCAGUUUCAGGUGCAUUAAAUUGCUACACUAUAUGUCAUCCACCAGUAUGAG
Molecule: microRNA precursor, 102 nt
Filed under: Ciona savignyi (Pacific transparent sea squirt)
Lineage: Eukaryota; Metazoa; Chordata; Ascidiacea; Phlebobranchia; Cionidae
Description: microRNA csa-mir-217 precursor
Gene: csa-mir-217
Source: miRBase by way of RNAcentral